AUGACUUGUUUCAUUCAUGACAGAUCCAUUUUCUGCCACCGAAUACAUUAGCAUGGGAUAAUGGAAUAGGACCCUGUCCUCCUAUUUUCAGUUGGUUUUGGCAGCGCGAGGACUAGGGUAAUGAUUAAUAGGGAUAGUUGGGGGCAUUAAUAUUUAAUUGUCAGAGGUGAAAUUCUUGGAUUUAUGAAAGAUUAACUUCUGCGAAAGCAUCUGCCAAGGAUGUUUUCAUUAAUCAAGAACGAAAGUUAGGGGAUCGAAGACGAUCAGAUACCGUCGUAGUCUUAACCAUAAACGAUGCCGACCAGCGAUUAGGAGACGUUGAAUACAAAACACCACCAUCGGUUGCGGUCGUCCUUGGCGUCUCGGUUUCGGCCGGGGCGCGGGGACGGUUUAGCCCGGUGGCACCGGUGAAUGACUCCCUAGCACUUUUGUGAGAA
This 437-nucleotide ribosomal RNA is filed under the name Acanthamoeba sp. MN-ISP124-T4. RNAcentral's name for it is "SSU rRNA". The stretch from base 1 to 371 matches the Rfam family "Eukaryotic small subunit ribosomal RNA", at positions 766 to 1116 of the family's 1831-position model. The record is from RNAcentral. Lineage: Eukaryota; Discosea; Longamoebia; Acanthamoebidae.